Molecule: ribosomal RNA, 482 nt
Filed under: uncultured bacterium
Lineage: Bacteria
Description: partial 16S ribosomal RNA
Rfam family: Bacterial small subunit ribosomal RNA
Source: RNAcentral
AUUGAACGCUGGCGGCAUGCUUUACACAUGCAAGUCGAACGGUAACAGGCCGCAAGGUGCUGACGAGUGGCGAACGGGUGAGUAAUGCAUCGGAGCGUGCACAGUCGUGGGGGAUAACUACUCGAAAGAGUAGCUAAUACCGCAUACGAUCUAUGGAUGAAAGCGGGGGACCGUAAGGCCUCGCGCGAUUGGAGCGGCCGAUGUCAGAUUAGGUAGUUGGUGGGGUAAAGGCUCACCAAGCCAACGAUCUGUAGCUGGUCUGAGAGGACGACCAGCCACACUGGGACUGAGACACGGCCCAGACUCCUACGGGAGGCAGCAGUGGGGAAUUUUGGACAAUGGGCGCAAGCCUGAUCCAGCAAUGCCGCGUGCAGGAAGAAGGCCUUCGGGUUGUAAACUGCUUUUGUACGGAACGAAACGGCUCUGGUUAAUACCCGGGGCUAAUGACGGUACCGUAAGAAUAAGCACCGGCUAACUACGUG